Molecule: long non-coding RNA, 244 nt
Filed under: Mytilus galloprovincialis (Mediterranean mussel)
Lineage: Eukaryota; Metazoa; Mollusca; Bivalvia; Mytilida; Mytilidae
Source: RNAcentral
CCAGAGUGACAUCCCCUCACGUCAUUCAUUUUGUUUUUAUAGUGUGGAAAAUCCACCAACAAAUCUUACCGAGAUUGAUGAGAAGGAGACACACAAAUGAAUAGAUUGACUUUAAAAACUUUUUUACACAUUUCCCUUCUGUUUCUCGCAAAAUUAUCGUAUCUUGAGCUCUCCUUUACACUAUUUACGUUUCUUUUACAAUCCUGAAAAAUCAGUAUGACGAGAUAUUCUAAAUAUAUCCAAC